Molecule: ribosomal RNA, 253 nt
Filed under: uncultured bacterium
Lineage: Bacteria
Description: partial 16S ribosomal RNA
Rfam family: Bacterial small subunit ribosomal RNA
Source: RNAcentral
UACGAAGGGGGCUAGCGUUGUUCGGAAUUACUGGGCGUAAAGCGCACGUAGGCGGACCUUUAAGUCAGGGGUGAAAUCCCGGAGCUCAACUCCGGAACUGCCUUUGAUACUGGGUGUCUUGAGUGUGGAAGAGGUGAGUGGAAUUCCGAGUGUAGAGGUGAAAUUCGUAGAUAUUCGGAGGAACACCAGUGGCGAAGGCGGCUCACUGGUCCAUUACUGACGCUGAGGUGCGAAAGCGUGGGGAGCAAACAGG